GUUUGGUCCUGACCUUAGAGUCAAUUAUUACUUAGUUUAUACAUGCAAGUCUCCGCACCCCUGUGAGAACGCCCUUAAACCCCUUUAAGGGGCAAGGAGCUGGUAUCAGGCACAAAAUUUAGCCCAAGACACCUAGCUAUGCCACACCCACAAGGGAUAUCAGCAGUAAUUAACAUUGAGCAUGAGCGACAGCUCGACUCAGCUAAAGUAAAAAGAGCCGGCUAAUCUGGUGCCAGCCGCCGCGGUUACACCACGUGGCUCAAACUGACCCUUUUCGGCGUAAAGCGUGAUUUAAGAGAUUUUUUUUGGUGUUAAAAAAGUACUAAGCUGUGACACGCUUGUCCUCAAGAAAAUCAAAAACGAAAGUUACACCAAUCCAGCCGACUUGAACUCACGACAGUUGGGGAACAAACUGGGAUUAGAUACCCCACUAUGCCCAACCGUAAACUUUAACCUACAGCCCAAUCGCCUGGGGACUACGAGCCAAGCUUAAAACCCAAAGGACUUGACGGUACCCCAAAUCCACCUAGAGGAGCCUGUCCUAUAAUCGAUAACCCCCGUUUAACCUCACCACUCCUUGUCAAUCAGCCUGUAUACCUCCGUCGCCAGCUUACCGCGUGAGCGCUACCGAGUGAGCUUAAUGCCCGCACGCCAACACGUCAGGUCAAGGUGCAGCUAAUGCAGUGGAAAGAGAUGGGCUACACUUUCUAACAUAGAAAAAACGAAAGACUACCUAUGAAAUCUAGUCGGAAGGAGGAUUUAGCAGUAAAAAGAAAGCAGAGCGUUCUUUUUAAUUUGGCA
Molecule: non-coding RNA, 801 nt
Filed under: Leptodactylus longirostris (longnose frog)
Lineage: Eukaryota; Metazoa; Chordata; Amphibia; Anura; Leptodactylidae
Description: partial 12S ribosomal RNA
Rfam family: Bacterial small subunit ribosomal RNA
Source: RNAcentral